AUUGAACGCUGGCGGCAGGCCUAACACAUGCAAGUCGAGCGGAUGAAGGGAGCUUGCUUCUGGAUUCAGCGGCGGACGGGUGAGUAAUGCCUAUGAAUCUGCCUGGUAGUGGGGUAUAACGUCCGGACACGGGCGCUAAUACCGCAUACGUCCUGAGGGAGAAAGUGGGGGAUCUUCGGACCUCACGCUAUCAGAUGAGCCUAGGUCGGGUUAGCUAGUUGGUGGGGUAAAGGCCUACCAAGGCGACGAUCCGUAACUGGUCUGAGAGAAUGAUCAGUCACACUGGAACUGGGACACGGUCCAGACUCCUACGGGAGGCAGCAGUGGGGAAUAUUGGACAAUGGGCGAAAGCCUGAUCCAGCCAUGCCGCGUGUGUGAAGAAGGUCUUCGGAUUGUAAAGCACUUUAAGUUGGGAGGAAGGGCAGUAAGUUAAUACCUUGCUGUUUUGACGUUACAAACAGAAUAAGCACCGGCUAACUUCGUG
Molecule: ribosomal RNA, 484 nt
Filed under: uncultured bacterium
Lineage: Bacteria
Description: partial 16S ribosomal RNA
Rfam family: Bacterial small subunit ribosomal RNA
Source: RNAcentral